GACGAACGCUGGCGGCGUGCUUAACACAUGCAAGUCGAACGGAAAGGCCCCUUCGGGGGUACUCGAGUGGCGAACGGGUGAGUAACACGUGAGUAACCUGCCCUUGACUUCGGGAUAACUUCAGGAAACUGGGGCUAAUACCGGAUAGGAAUCCUUGCUGCAUAGUGGGGGUUGGAAAGCUUCGGCGGUUUUGGAUGGACUCGCGGCUUAUCAGCUUGUUGGUGGGGUAGUGGCUUACCAAGGCUUUGACGGGUAGCCGGCCUGAGAGGGCGACCGGCCACAUUGGGACUGAGAUACGGCCCAGACUCCUACGGGAGGCAGCAGUGGGGAAUAUUGCACAAUGGGCGGAAGCCUGAUGCAGCAACGCCGCGUGCGGGAUGACGGCCUUCGGGUUGUAAACCGCUUUCAGCAGGGGCGAAGCUUGUGGUGACGGUACCUGCAGAAGAAGCACCGGCUAACUACGUG
Molecule: ribosomal RNA, 465 nt
Filed under: uncultured bacterium
Lineage: Bacteria
Description: partial 16S ribosomal RNA
Rfam family: Bacterial small subunit ribosomal RNA
Source: RNAcentral